UCGAACGAUAUAGUGGCAGACGGGUGAGUAACGCGUGGGAACGUACCUUUCACUACGGAAUAGCUCUUGGAAACGAGUGGUAAUACCGUAUACGCCCUUCGGGGGAAAGAUUUAUCGGUGAAAGAUCGGCCCGCGUUAGAUUAGCUAGUUGGUAGGGUAAUGGCCUACCAAGGCGACGAUCUAUAGCUGGUCUGAGAGGAUGAUCAGCCACACUGGGACUGAGACACGGCCCAGACUCCUACGGGAGGCAGCAGUGGGGAAUCUUGCACAAUGGGCGAAAGCCUGAUGCAGCCAUGCCGCGUGAAUGAUGAAGGCCUUAGGGUUGUAAAAUUCUUUCGCUAGGGAUGAUAAUGACAGUACCUAGUAAAGAAGCCCCGGCUAACUUCGUGCCAGCAGCCGCGGUAAUACGAAGGGGGCUAGCGUUGUUCGGAAUUACUGGGCGUAAAGCGCACGUAGGCGGACUUUUAAGUCAGAUGUGAAAUCCCGGGGCUCAACCUC
This 498-nucleotide ribosomal RNA is filed under the name Hyphomonas sp. Ar-147. RNAcentral's name for it is "bacterial SSU rRNA". It matches the Rfam family "Bacterial small subunit ribosomal RNA", at positions 62 to 616 of the family's 1533-position model. The record is from RNAcentral. Lineage: Bacteria; Pseudomonadati; Pseudomonadota; Alphaproteobacteria; Hyphomonadales; Hyphomonadaceae.